GAUGAACGCUGGCGGCGUGCCUAAUACAUGCCAGUCGAGCGAACAGAUGAGGAGCUUGCUCCUCUGACGUUAGCGGCGGACGGGUGAGUAACACGUGGAUAACCUACCUAUAAGACUGGGAUAACUUCGGGAAACCGGAGCUAAUACCGGAUAAUAUAUUGAACCGCAUGGUUCAAUAGUGAAAGACGGUUUUGCUGUCACUUAUAGAUGGAUCCGCGCCGCAUUAGCUAGUUGGUAAGGUAACGGCUUACCAAGGCGACGAUGCGUAGCCGACCUGAGAGGGUGAUCGGCCACACUGGAACUGAGACACGGUCCAGACUCCUACGGGAGGCAGCAGUAGGGAAUCUUGCGCAAUGGGCGAAAGCCUGACGGAGCAACGCCGCGUGUGUGAUGAAGGUCUUCGGAUCGUAAAACUCUGUUAUUAGGGAAGAACAAAUGUGUGAGUAACUAUGCACGUCUUGACGGUACCUAAUCAGAAAGCCACGGCUAACUACGUG
Molecule: ribosomal RNA, 497 nt
Filed under: uncultured bacterium
Lineage: Bacteria
Description: partial 16S ribosomal RNA
Rfam family: Bacterial small subunit ribosomal RNA
Source: RNAcentral